UGAAUUUGAAAUACAAAAAUU
This 21-nucleotide non-coding RNA is filed under the name Caenorhabditis elegans. Lineage: Eukaryota; Metazoa; Nematoda; Chromadorea; Rhabditida; Rhabditidae. The record is from RNAcentral.